This 174-nucleotide small nuclear RNA is filed under the name Pelecanus crispus (Dalmatian pelican). Its description in RNAcentral is "U2 spliceosomal RNA". It matches the Rfam family "U2 spliceosomal RNA", at positions 1 to 125 of the family's 192-position model. From Rfam's summary of the family: U2 is a small nuclear RNA (snRNA) component of the spliceosome (involved in pre-mRNA splicing). The record is from Rfam by way of RNAcentral. Lineage: Eukaryota; Metazoa; Chordata; Aves; Pelecaniformes; Pelecanidae.
GUCGCUUCUCGGCCUUUUGGCUAAGAUCAAGUGUAGUAUCUGUUCUUAUCAGUUUUUAUUUCUUCUCCCAUGUGGUUAGCAAUAGGACGAGAGGAAAUGGGCUCAAGCUGCGCCAGGGGAGGUUUAGGUUGGAAAUUAGGAAAAAUUUCUUUAUGGAAAGGGUGGUCAAGCAUU